GAUGAACGCUGGCGGCGUGCCUAAUACAUGCAAGUCGAGCGAACAGACGAGGAUCUUGCUCCUCUGACGUUAGCGACGGACGGGUGAGUAACACGUGGAUAACCUACCUAUAAGACUGGGAUAACUUCGGGAAACCGGAGCUAAUACCGGGUAAUAUAUUGAACCGCAUGGUUCAAUAGUGAAAGACGGGUUUGCUGUCACUUAUAGAUGGAUCCGCGCCGCAUUAGCUAGUUGGUAAGGUAACGGCUUACCAAGGCAACGAUGCGUAGCCGACCUGAGAGGGUGAUCGGCCACACUGGAAGUGAGACACGGUCCAGACUCCUACGGGAGGCAGAAGUAGGGAAUCUUCCGCAAUGGGCGAAAGCUUGACGGAGCAACGCCGCGUGAGUGAUGAAGGUCUUCGGAUCGUAAAACUCUGUUAUUGGGGAAGAACAAAUGUGUAAGUAACUAUGCACGUCUUGACGGUACCUAAUCAGAAAGCCACGGCUAACUACGUG
This 497-nucleotide ribosomal RNA is filed under the name uncultured bacterium. RNAcentral's name for it is "partial 16S ribosomal RNA". It matches the Rfam family "Bacterial small subunit ribosomal RNA", at positions 28 to 507 of the family's 1533-position model. The record is from RNAcentral.